GGCUUAGAGUUUGAUCAUGGCUCAGGACAAACGCUGGCGGCGCACAUAAGACAUGCAAGUCGAACGGACUUAACUCAUUCUUUUAGAUUGAGAGCGGUUAGUGGCGGACUGGUGAGUAACACGUAAGCAACCUGCCUAUUAGAGGGGAAUAACAGUGAGAAAUCAUUGCUAAUACCGCAUAUGCUAACAGUAUCGCAUGAUACAGUUAGGAAAGGAGCAAUCCGCUAAUAGAUGGGCUUGCGUCUGAUUAGCUAGUUGGUGGGGUAACGGCCUACCAAGGCGACGAUCAGUAGCCGGACUGAGAGGUUGAACGGCCACAUUGGGACUGAGAUACGGCCCAGACUCCUACGGGAGGCAGCAGUCGGGAAUAUUGCGCAAUGGAGGAAACUCUGACGCAGUGACGCCGCGUAUAGGAAGAAGGUUUUCGGAUUGUAAACUAUUGUCGUUAGGGAAGAUACAAGACAGUACCUAAGGAGGAAGCCCCGGCUAACUAUGUGCCAGCAGCCGCGGUAAUACAUAGGGGGCAAGCGUUAUCCGGAUUUAUUGGGUGUAAAGGGUGCGUAGAUGGAGGAGCAAGUUGGUUGUGAAAUCCCUCGGCUCAACUGAGGAACUGCAACCAAAACUACUUCCCUUGAGUGUCGGAGAGGAAAGU
This 652-nucleotide ribosomal RNA is filed under the name uncultured organism. Its description in RNAcentral is "bacterial SSU rRNA". It matches the Rfam family "Bacterial small subunit ribosomal RNA", at positions 1 to 662 of the family's 1533-position model. The record is from RNAcentral.